RNAcentral lists this long non-coding RNA (472 nucleotides) under Salmo salar (Atlantic salmon). RNAcentral describes it as "lncRNA (ENSSSAG00000098636.1)". Lineage: Eukaryota; Metazoa; Chordata; Actinopteri; Salmoniformes; Salmonidae. The record is from RNAcentral.
CCUUGUUGGACAGUAUUAGUGUUGAGGAGGUAUCCAUGGGACACUUUGCGCUUCGGACCAUGACUGGAUCAGGUGGACACUGAGAGGGAACGCUGCUGCUUUGGAUGCAGAAGGAGAGGUUCCAGUGCCACUGUGAGAAGCUGCUUCAGUCCCAUCAGAGCUGAGAGGUGUCCGAUACAGCAGACGCAGAACAGGGAACGCCACACUACGCAGGAAGGCUGACAACCGAUUGGAGAGGAGCGUGACGACAACAACCCAACCCAUUCCAACGCUAGCCGUGCCAGGCUACUGCCAACCCCAGGACGCCAUGAUGAUGACCGUAAUGAUGAUGAUGGCGAUGAUGGUGACAUGUAGCUCCUUGCUCCUCUUGGGACUCAUGGCCUCCCAGGUCUCGUCCAGCGGAAUCCCCAAGACCAGUGACUCCUCUUCACCCUCCUCGUCCUCCUCACACCCAUCCUCCUCUUCCCCUCGC